ACUAAAACUAGACGAAGACGAACACAUUUUGAAAUGACUAAAAUAUGACUAAGACUAAUAAGUAUUUUUCGUCCAAAAGACUAAGACAAAAAUUAAAAUGGCUGCCAAAAACAACACUGUUUGGCUCUCCAGAAUGGAAAGUCAUCCUGAUUAUUGAAUUUGCCAUGGCUAACAUUGCAAUAGUGCAGCCAAUCAGAGGUGUCAUGGGCCUGCAGGAUGUGAAAAAAGGCGGAGUGACAAAGAGGACCUUGAAGAUGUGUUUCACUUCUGUUUGCUUCAUUUGGAAAUGUUUCACCAAUAGGUUUCAUUACCACCAAGGCAAAAGAGCGAACAUGAAUACACGUAAAAGCAGCCUCGUUCAGCGUGACAUCACUCUCACUUGAACUUGAGGGCAGAGGCGAGGUUUUCGACUUUAGGGAACAAGUCCAGGAAGCUGUGUCAAGAGAUAAGACACCAAACGUGACUUGGUGUUUGGUGGCACACAUGGAAGGUCUGUGUGGUCUGAGGAGCCUGCUGCUUUGGGCCACAAUCAUCUCUUCAGCCUACUUUGAAACAAGCCCCUCAAACGAGGUCUCAACCGCAAAUAUUUCAUGGAGUACACCAACAGUUUCUCCAAAAAACAAUGAGGUCUCAACCGCAAACAUUUCAUGGAGUACACCAACAGUUUCUCCAAAAAACAAUCUUCCGAUCACUACCCAAGUGGAUACUACAAGUGUCAACAAAUG
Corythoichthys intestinalis (scribbled pipefish) is the source of this 725-nucleotide long non-coding RNA. RefSeq lists it as uncharacterized. The record is from RefSeq and is a predicted model, not a curated record. The transcript is spliced from 5 exons. NCBI's taxonomy places the organism in Eukaryota, Metazoa, Chordata, Actinopteri, Syngnathiformes, Syngnathidae.